This 497-nucleotide ribosomal RNA is filed under the name uncultured bacterium. Its description in RNAcentral is "partial 16S ribosomal RNA". It matches the Rfam family "Bacterial small subunit ribosomal RNA", at positions 28 to 507 of the family's 1533-position model. The record is from RNAcentral.
GAUGAACGCUGGCGGCGUGCCUAAUACAUGCAAGUCGAGCGAACGGACGAGAAGCUUGCUUCUCUGAUGUUAGCGGCGGACGGGUGAGUAACACGUGGAUAACCUACCUAUAAGACUGGGAUAACUUCGGGAAACCGGAGCUAAUACCGGAUGAUAUUUUGAACCGCAUGGUUCAAAGGUGAAAGACGGUCUUGCUGUCACUUAUAGAUGGAUCCGCGCUGCAUUAGCUAGUUGGUAAGGUAACGGCUUACCAAGGCAACGAUGCAUAGCCGACCUGAGAGGGUGAUCGGCCACACUGGAACUGAGACACGGUCCAGACUCCUACGGGAGGCAGCAGUAGGGAAUCUUACGCAAUGGGCGAAAGCCUGACGGAGCAACGCCGCGUGAGUGAUGAAGGUCUUCGGAUCGUAAAACUCUGUUAUUAGGGAAGAACAUAUGUGUAAGUAACUGUGCACAUCUUGACGGUACCUAAUCAGAAAGCCACGGCUAACUACGUG